RNAcentral lists this ribosomal RNA (253 nucleotides) under uncultured bacterium. RNAcentral's name for it is "partial 16S ribosomal RNA". It matches the Rfam family "Archaeal small subunit ribosomal RNA", at positions 474 to 727 of the family's 1478-position model. The record is from RNAcentral.
UACCAGCACCCCGAGUGGUCGGGCCGAUUAUUGGGCCUAAAGCAUCCGUAGCCGGUUUUACAAGUCCUCCGUUAAAUCCAGCUGCUUAACAGAUGGGCUGCGGAGGAUACUAUAAGACUAGGAGGCAGGAGAGGCAAGCGGUACUCAGUGGGUAGGGGUAAAAUCCGUUGAUCCAUUGAAGACCACCAGUGGCGAAGGCGGCUUGCCAGAAUGCGCUCGACGGUGAGGGAUGAAAGCUGGGGGAGCAAACCGG